CCAUGUCAGUGGGAUAGCUGUACCUGGCAGUUCUGGUUGGUCCUGGCUGACAGCUCAGGUGUGUGGCUCCUGGCGGUGCCCUCGGGUAGUGGGACAAAGCUUGUGGGUGCCCAGGCAGGGGUCCCCCCCUGGGGAGGAGCUGGUGCUGCUGCCAGCCAGUAGUGACAUGACCGCCCAGGUCUCAUGGCUGGGGCUGAGUCUGCAGAUCUGUUGAGACAGGCACUGGGUUGGGCUCCCUGAGCUGCUGUUGGAGGCUGCAGGCAGGGAGCUUGGUGGGACAGGCUGUUGUUGCCCUGAGGGGCUCUCCCCUGGUGACACAUCACUGCAGGUGCCAGGCUAGAGCGGGGGCUCAGACAGGCUACCCAUGCUGCUGUACACAGCAUGGCUGUGGCCUGGAUCUUGGGGCACAAGGAUUUCAGUCAGCUGCUGCAUGAAGGGCAUGGUCUUGUAGGCACUCCAUGACUGACAGUUGUGGUCAGUGAUGGUGACCCCCUUUGCCUGCAAGGCCUUGACCUUUAUGUCGCACUGACUGGUUGUGCCUGUGCUCCAACAUUUGGCUUGACAGCCCUUCGUAGAUGUGGACAUUGGAUUGCCUGUCCUGUUCAAACUGGUGCUGCACCUCUGCCUUACUCCAUAGUGCUAUGAGGUUGCCAGUCUCCUCCUGUGACCAAUCAGGGCCCUGGGUGGUGGUGAAUGGCAUUGAUGAGUCAUUAUGGUUCCUGCUCUGGCUCUUUUGGCCUCUGCAAUGCUGUCCGUGUGCUGCUAGGCCUGAGCAGCUGCCUGCAGCACUCAACACAGAGGCACCGCAUGCAGCUGGGCCGGAGGGCUGGCAGGCCUGCAGAAGCCUGGAGCACUGCAGGGCUGGCUGGAUGGUGCAGGCCUGCAGUGCCAGGCAGUGGCGCCUGUGUUCAAGUAGGCUGGCAGAGGUAACCUGUGGUCUGUGCAGAGGCAGCAGAGGCUAAGAGUUUCCCAAGCUCCAUGCUGUUGUGCCCAAGGGCUCAAAAUGCCUGCAGGCUUUUAAAGGGCCUGUGGCUGGGGCUGCCACAGAGACGGGCUAGCCCUGGGGCAGAAGAAGCUCCACAAAGGCUGGGGCUCCCCCUAACCACUGCAGCAUGUGGGUGAGUGGAUUGCCACCCCCAUCUCCUUGACUGUGGGCUCCCCUUCUAAACCAUGCUCCUGGCUCUCCUGGCACUGUAAUUUGAGCUGAUCUGUGCUGCCCUUCCCUGUCUUGCCCCCUGGGCUGGGACAGGACAUGAGAACCAGAGAAGAAAGGGUGAGCUUGGAGAUCCUGUCUACAACAGUAGUUGUAGUGAUGAAGAGAGUUAUGGCCUGGGGUUCACAGAUUAACCCCUCAGGGGUUGCAUGUGGCCUGCAGCCAUCGGUUAGAGAGCCCUGGUUUACAGAAUCUUUUCCCACUGACUGUUACUUUUUUUUUCCUUCUUUCCUAUUGUGUAUUGACAGAUAUCAAGAGUCUCCAGGAGACAUUAAAAUCAUUAACGGAGUUAACUAAGGCAUGGAGAAAUACAUACCUUUUCCAAGGCAAAUGUGUUUAGUAUUUUUUUAAAAAUAUGUCAUGUUUUAAGUAUAAUUAUAAUUUUAAAGUGACAAAGACUUUGUUUAGGAGGGUUUCAUCUUCUAUCAUUGCAACUUCAUGGACAGAGAAAUGAACUCUUCUGUAAGAAUUUAUACUCCAUGCCCUUUCACAGUGUAUGGCAAUGGUUUUUCAUUUCAUUAUAACCCAAGAUUAGUAUGUUUAUAUGAACAGAGUACAUGCACAUUUUAAUUCCUUGUUUUACUUGCUUCAUGAAAACCAGUUGUAUAAAAGAAUGUGAACAAAGCAUUACUUCUAGUCUUCUUCCUGAAAGAAUUCUGUUUAUAACUACUAGAUGUCCUGUAGGUGGCAUUGUAUAGUAAGAAGACAGUAUCUACUAGGAAAACAAGUUAAAAUCCACUCACUCGACAAAGAUAUGUCAAAGUGCAUUCAUCUUCUGUUGCUGACUAGUAAAUCCAGAUUCUUUUUCCAGUGCCAGUCAUAAGUCUGAGUAUAGCACAAACAAGCCAUGCAUAAUUUGAGUCAUUGUUUGUAUGUCUACUCUUUGCUCUCUGACCUCAGUUUGUCAUAGACUUUCUCUCCACCUUACUUUUUCCAUCAUGCUUUUUUCCAUUGUUUAUAUUUAGGUAUAAAAGUAGCCAGUAUAGACAUGAGGCUGUAAAAUGUUGGUAUGCUGGUUUUAGCCUUUUUUUAUAGGAACUCCAGAGAAUUUAUAUCUGUGUUUCAUUUCUCCAUCUGCUUCUGCUGGGAACAUUGCUGCCAAAUCAUUCCAGCUGCUUCAUCACAGUUUCAAACACCAACCACGUUUGUCCAUCUUGUUACCACCCUUUUUCAUAUUCUAAUGUUCUCUUUACCAUGUCUUGGGGUUUAUACUUAUAUUUUCAGUCUUACUAGAGGACUUUAUAAUACUCUGCCAUUUAGAACUGGAAGAAUACUUUUGGCUGUUUACUUUCAAUAUGAGCAUCUAUCUUCACUUUUUCAGGAAUAACAGUUUUGUUACUAAUCACUAGUGACAUUCAUAAAAGAGAUACUAAAGAAUUUAUAGCUGUCCUCCUGCUUGCAGGUACCACUUUUGAUCAUAGACUUUAUUUCUUUUAGUCUAAUUAUAUUCUGUUCCUGUUUGAUUCAAUUAGAAGUCUUUCCAGUGUAGCAUCUGGAGCUUUUGAUCUUCUUUAAGCUGUUUUUCAUCUCCAAUGUAACCAUGCAAAAAUUUCAGUUUUUCAGGCAAUGCACAUGGCACGUCACCUCAGAUUCCAUCUGUAUCAUGGGAACAGAGCUGAAAGUAAAGUUUCAGCCCUGAUGUCACACAGCUCUGCUCAGGGACAGAAUGCCUAAAAGGGGGUUGCUGCAGUGCAAGGCGUUGAUAAUCUCCCCUCCAGGAGCAACCCGAAGUCGGUUAGUGCAACCCAAGCAAAGAAUGGUGUUAUGGACAAGAAGCAUGACCAGGAAAUCCAGGAAAUUCUUUGAUUCAAUGCCCUGGCCAGAACCAGAAGCAAUGUAACUUUGAGCCUGAUCAAAUGUAUCUAGCUUUAUUGUCUCUUCCAAAAGUGACAGUGAUGCAAACCAGACUGCUGUCCCCUGGAGGAAUCCUUCUGAGUGCAGCCCCAGCUGGCAGUUUUGAGCUUCUUAAUAAACAGUCUGUCUUGAUAUUUUCUUGA
Long non-coding RNA from Alligator mississippiensis (American alligator), 3210 nucleotides. RefSeq lists it as uncharacterized. The record is from RefSeq and is a predicted model, not a curated record. The transcript has 2 exons. Lineage: Eukaryota; Metazoa; Chordata; Crocodylia; Alligatoridae.